Regulatory RNA element from Rhodoferax ferrireducens T118, 68 nucleotides. It matches the Rfam family "ilvH RNA". NCBI's taxonomy places the organism in Bacteria, Pseudomonadati, Pseudomonadota, Betaproteobacteria, Burkholderiales, Comamonadaceae. The record is from Rfam.
GACGAAUCUAUUGUUUGCCAAGCUCUGCGGUUACCGCCUCAGGGGUAGGGCAACGAAAAGAGGAAUCA